UGGGGAAUAUUGGACAAUGGGCGCAAGCCUGAUCCAGCCAUGCCGCGUGAGUGAUGAAGGCCUUAGGGUUGUAAAGCUCUUUCACCGGUGAAGAUAAUGACGGUAGCCGGAGAAGAAGCCCCGGCUAACUUCGUGCCAGCAGCCGCGGUAAUACGAAGGGGGCUAGCGUUGUUCGGAUUUACUGGGCGUAAAGCGCACGUAGGCGGACCAGAAAGUUGGGGGUGAAAUCCCGGGGGCUCAACCCCGGAACUGCCUCCAAAACUAUUGGUCUAGAGUUCGAGAGAGGUGAGUGGAAUUCCAAGUGUAGAGGUGAAAUUCGUAGAUAUUUGGAGGAACACCAGUGGCGAAGGCGGCUCACUGGCUCGAUACUGACGCUGAGGUGCGAAAGUGUGGGGAGCAAACAGGAUUAGAUACCCUGGUAGUCCACACCGUAAAACGAUGAAUGCCAGUCGUCGGGUAGCAUGCUAUUCGGUGACACACCUAACGGAUUAAGCAUUCCGCCUGGGGAGUACGGUCGCAAGAUUAAAACUCAAAUGAAUUG
This 541-nucleotide ribosomal RNA is filed under the name uncultured bacterium. RNAcentral's name for it is "bacterial SSU rRNA". It matches the Rfam family "Bacterial small subunit ribosomal RNA", at positions 355 to 912 of the family's 1533-position model. The record is from RNAcentral.